Molecule: ribosomal RNA, 1109 nt
Filed under: Enterobacter asburiae
Lineage: Bacteria; Pseudomonadati; Pseudomonadota; Gammaproteobacteria; Enterobacterales; Enterobacteriaceae
Description: bacterial SSU rRNA
Rfam family: Bacterial small subunit ribosomal RNA
Source: RNAcentral
AGGCAUAAGAGCAGCUACCAUGCAGUCGAGCGGUAGCACAGAGAGCUUGCUCUCGGGUGACGAGCGGCGGACGGGUGAGUAAUGUCUGGGAAACUGCCUGAUGGAGGGGGAUAACUACUGGAAACGGUAGCUAAUACCGCAUAACGUCGCAAGACCAAAGAGGGGGACCUUCGGGCCUCUUGCCAUCAGAUGUGCCCAGAUGGGAUUAGCUAGUAGGUGGGGUAACGGCUCACCUAGGCGACGAUCCCUAGCUGGUCUGAGAGGAUGACCAGCCACACUGGAACUGAGACACGGUCCAGACUCCUACGGGAGGCAGCAGUGGGGAAUAUUGCACAAUGGGCGCAAGCCUGAUGCAGCCAUGCCGCGUGUAUGAAGAAGGCCUUCGGGUUGUAAAGUACUUUCAGCGGGGAGGAAGGUGUUGAGGUUAAUAACCUCAGCAAUUGACGUUACCCGCAGAAGAAGCACCGGCUAACUCCGUGCCAGCAGCCGCGGUAAUACGGAGGGUGCAAGCGUUAAUCGGAAUUACUGGGCGUAAAGCGCACGCAGGCGGUCUGUCAAGUCGGAUGUGAAAUCCCCGGGCUCAACCUGGGAACUGCAUUCGAAACUGGCAGGCUAGAGUCUUGUAGAGGGGGGUAGAAUUCCAGGUGUAGCGGUGAAAUGCGUAGAGAUCUGGAGGAAUACCGGUGGCGAAGGCGGCCCCCUGGACAAAGACUGACGCUCAGGUGCGAAAGCGUGGGGAGCAAACAGGAUUAGAUACCCUGGUAGUCCACGCCGUAACGAUGUCGACUUGGAGGUUGUGCCCUUGAGGCGUGGCUUCCGGAGCUAACGCGUUAAGUCGACCGCCUGGGGAGUACGGCCGCAAGGUUAAAACUCAAAUGAAUUGACGGGGCCCGCACAAGCGGUGGAGCAUGUGGUUUAAUUCGAUGCAACGCGAGAACCUUACCUACUCUUGACAUCCAGAGAACUUAGCAGAGAUGCUUUGGUGCCUUCGGGAACUCUGAGACAGGUGCUGCAUGGCUGUCGUCAGCUCGUGUUGUGAAAUGUUGGGUUAGUCCCGCACGAGCGCAACCCUUAUCCUUUGUUGCCAGCGGUCCGGCCGGGAACCUCGA